Molecule: ribosomal RNA, 720 nt
Filed under: Escherichia coli
Lineage: Bacteria; Pseudomonadati; Pseudomonadota; Gammaproteobacteria; Enterobacterales; Enterobacteriaceae
Description: bacterial SSU rRNA
Rfam family: Bacterial small subunit ribosomal RNA
Source: RNAcentral
GUAGGUGAGCGGUGUUUCGCUGACGAGUGGCGGACGGGUGAGUAAUGUCGGGGAAACUGGGUGAGUGGGAGGGGGAUAACUACUGGAAACGGUGAGCUAAUACCGCAUAACGUCGCAAGACCAAAGAGGGGGACCUUCGGGCCUCUUGCCAUCGGAUGUGCCCAGAUGGGAUUAGCUAGUAGGUGGGGUAACGGCUCACCUAGGCGACGAUCCCUAGCUGGUCUGAGAGGAUGACCAGCCACACUGGAACUGAGACACGGUCCAGACUCCUACGGGAGGCAGCAGUGGGGAAUAUUGCACAAUGGGCGCAAGCCUGAUGCAGCCAUGCCGCGUGUAUGAAGAAGGCCUUCGGGUUGUAAAGUACUUUCAGCGGGGAGGAAGGGAGUAAAGUUAAUACCUUUGCUCAUUGACGUUACCCGCAGAAGAAGCACCGGCUAACUCCGUGCCAGCAGCCGCGGUAAUACGGAGGGUGCAAGCGUUAAUCGGAAUUACUGGGCGUAAAGCGCACGCAGGCGGUUUGUUAAGUCAGAUGUGAAAUCCCCGGGCUCAACCUGGGAACUGCAUCUGAUACUGGCAAGCUUGAGUCUCGUAGAGGGGGGUAGAAUUCCAGGUGUAGCGGUGAAAUGCGUAGAGAUCUGGAGGAAUACCGGUGGCGAAGGCGGCCCCCUGGACGAAGACUGACGCUCAGGUGCGAAAGCGUGGGGAGCAAACAGGAUUAGA